This 277-nucleotide ribosomal RNA is filed under the name uncultured soil bacterium. RNAcentral's name for it is "partial 16S ribosomal RNA". It matches the Rfam family "Bacterial small subunit ribosomal RNA", at positions 26 to 285 of the family's 1533-position model. The record is from RNAcentral.
AGAACGAACGCUGGCGGCGUGGAUUAGGCAUGCAAGUCGAACGCGAAAGAGGGAGCAAUCCCUCGAGUAGAGUGGCGAACGGGUGAGUAACGCGCGAAGAACCUGCCUUCAACAGGGGGAUAACACUCCCAACGGGGUGCUAAUACCGCAUGAGACCACGGAGUCGCAUGGCUCUGAGGUCAAAGGUGGCCUCUAUUUAUAAGCUACCGGUUGAAGAUGGCUUCGCGUCCCAUUAGCUAGUUGGCGGUGUAAAAGACCACCAAGGCGACGACGGGUA